CAGGAUGUAUGGACAGGAUGUACGGACAGGAGGUACGGACAGGAUGUACGGACAGGAUGUACGGACAGGAUGUAUGGACAGGAGGUAUGGACAGGAGGUAUGGACAGGAUGUAUGGACAGGAUGUAUGGACAGGAUGUAUGGACAGGAGGUAUACACAGGAUGUAUGGACAGGAGGUAUGGACAGGAUGUAUGGACAGGAUGUAUGGACAGGAGGUAUGGACAGGAUGUAUGGACAGGAUGUAUGGACAGGAUGUAUGGACAGGAGGUAUGGACAGGAGGUAUGGACAGGAUGUAUGGACAGGAGGUAUGGACAGGAUGUGUAGGGCCCAUCAGUAACGGGCAU
This is a long non-coding RNA of Esox lucius (northern pike), 344 nucleotides long. The record is from Ensembl. Lineage: Eukaryota; Metazoa; Chordata; Actinopteri; Esociformes; Esocidae.